GGCUCCUCUGGUUCAGCGUGGAUCUCACAGCUAAGCAUCCUGCUGGAGGCAGGGAGGGGUCAGAGCUGAACUGACUUCUUCUGAUACAACUUCAGCGCUGCAGGGAAUGGAGGCAAUGUUCUGCUACGUGUGGACUCUGCUGGUGCACCUCUGGACUCAGUUGGAAGCAGGUGUUCCUGUUAGAGAUCGUGGAGCGGACAAAUGCAGCAAGCUCUUGUCAGAAAACAGGAACCUGUGAUGGUCAGCCCUUGAUUGGAAGGGGAUCCCUCAGUGCUGGAUCUGGAAUGGUUUCAUUUUCCACCAUCUCCCUCCUUCUGUAUUACCAACUGCAGAAGAUGAUCACUGCCUGACUUCUGCUCUUAAUGAGUAUCAGUUUUAAACAACAACAACGUGCUCUGCUUGGGCUGGCCAGGUCUCAAGUUGCCUUCAGCUCUGCUAGGAUCUCAGCCACCCUGUACAAACAUUUGCCAAGAGGUAAACACAUCUGGCAAAACCUUCACUUGCUAAGAAGUCAUCUGACUUGG
RNAcentral lists this long non-coding RNA (524 nucleotides) under Chrysolophus pictus (golden pheasant). Its description in RNAcentral is "lncRNA (ENSCPIG00010014994.1)". Lineage: Eukaryota; Metazoa; Chordata; Aves; Galliformes; Phasianidae. The record is from RNAcentral.